AACGAUCUCUUCGGANAUAGUGGCGCACGGGUGCGUAACGCGUGGGAAUCUGCCCAAGGGUCCAGGAUAACAGUUAGAAAUGACUGCUAAUACUGGAUAAUGUCUUCGGACCAAAGAUUUAUUGCCCUUGGAUGAGCCCGCGUUGGAUUAGCUAGUUGGUGGGGUAAAGGCCUACCAAGGCGACGAUCCAUAGCUGGUCUGAGAGGAUGAUCAGCCACACUGGGACUGAGACACGGCCCAGACUCCUACGGGAGGCAGCAGUGGGGAAUAUUGGACAAUGGGCGAAAGCCUGAUCCAGCAAUGCCGCGUGAGUGAUGAAGGCCUUAGGGUUGUAAAGCUC
This 340-nucleotide ribosomal RNA is filed under the name marine bacterium SIMO-IS121. Its description in RNAcentral is "bacterial SSU rRNA". It matches the Rfam family "Bacterial small subunit ribosomal RNA", at positions 65 to 433 of the family's 1533-position model. The record is from RNAcentral. Lineage: Bacteria; Pseudomonadati; Pseudomonadota; Alphaproteobacteria.